AUUAUGAAGUUUUGGUGGGGAAUAACUUAAAAAGAUAAUUUAGAGAUAAUUUGUGGUGAAAUUGGAAUAGAAACAAAAAAUUUAAAAUUUUCUGUAAGAAGCGGGGCUAAUCUUUUAGUAGAAAAUUCACAGUGUCAGAAAGUUAUGAAAAUUUGAGAAUAUGUCGGAAUUAUUUUUUUGAGGCUAGAUUUAAAGUUUCACGUCAUUCUGACACCCGAAAAGUAAAAAAUAAAAUCUGACUGCUAUUUGCUAGAGAUUUUAGUCGGUAGAGCUUUCGGUGAUAAAAAAUGGUCCAAACUGAAAAGUUAAGAUAUCGUUCUUCUUAUUAAUUUAAACUGAGCCUGACUGUCAAAUUUGAGCGCAAACGAAUAUUCAGAAGGGCUCCGGCGAAAAGUAUCAGAUUCUGAACUGCUUGAAAAUUGUAAUAGUGU
RNAcentral lists this long non-coding RNA (431 nucleotides) under Ananas comosus (pineapple). RNAcentral's name for it is "long non-coding RNA (ACOM_LNC002174)". Lineage: Eukaryota; Viridiplantae; Streptophyta; Magnoliopsida; Poales; Bromeliaceae. The record is from RNAcentral.